Molecule: ribosomal RNA, 253 nt
Filed under: uncultured bacterium
Lineage: Bacteria
Description: partial 16S ribosomal RNA
Rfam family: Bacterial small subunit ribosomal RNA
Source: RNAcentral
UACGUAGGGUGCAAGCGUUGUCCGGAAUUAUUGGGCGUAAAGAGCUCGUAGGCGGUUCGUCGCGUCGGCUGUGAAAACCCGGAGCUCAACUCCGAGCUUGCAGUCGAUACGGGCAGGCUAGAGUUCGGCAGGGGAGACUGGAAUUCCUGGUGUAGCGGUGAAAUGCGCAGAUAUCAGGAGGAACGCCGGUGGCGAAGGCGGGUCUCUGGGCCGAUACUGACGCUGAGGAGCGAAAGCGUGGGGAGCGAACAGG